Molecule: ribosomal RNA, 452 nt
Filed under: Diadiplosis donaldi
Lineage: Eukaryota; Metazoa; Arthropoda; Insecta; Diptera; Cecidomyiidae
Description: partial large subunit ribosomal RNA
Rfam family: Eukaryotic large subunit ribosomal RNA
Source: RNAcentral
CGAAACCGAUAGCGAACAAGUACCGUGAGGGAAAGUUGAAAAGUACUCUGAAUAGAGAGUUAAAUAGUACGUGAAACCGCUUAGGGGUUAAGCCCGAUGAACCCGAAUAUCUGAUUUGAGAAAUUCAAUAUUGUUCAUUUAAUGGAUAGUAUGCACUUUUCUCAUAGUAGGACAUUGUAAUCCAUUGAUGAUAUAUCUAUUUCAUUUAUGGAAUAGAUGAUUUAACAUACGGACAAAAUGUAUAUGUUUAUUCUAUCAAUGAUAUGUUUACAUGUCAUAUGAAUAAGAUCGUUUCGUACCUGUUUAAAUAGUCGAUGGAUUUUAAAUGAAUCAUGCUUGCAAUUUAUUUUGCAUUUCGUAUUAUUUGACUAGUUAUAGUUAGUAAUAGCAGAAAUGGCAUGCAUUCGAUUAACAAUGCGAUAGAUUUGGGAUACUUUCAGGACCCGUCUUGA